This 2858-nucleotide ribosomal RNA is filed under the name Salmonella enterica subsp. enterica serovar Typhimurium. RNAcentral describes it as "23S ribosomal RNA". It matches the Rfam family "Bacterial large subunit ribosomal RNA". The record is from RNAcentral. Lineage: Bacteria; Pseudomonadati; Pseudomonadota; Gammaproteobacteria; Enterobacterales; Enterobacteriaceae.
GGGUUGUGAGGUUAAGCGACUAAGCGUACACGGUGGAUGCCCUGGCAGUCAGAGGCGAUGAAGGGCGUGCUAAUCUGCGAUAAGCGCCGGUAAGGUGAUAUGAACCGUUAUAACCGGCGAUACCCGAAUGGGGAAACCCAGUGUGAUUCGUCACACUAUCAUUAACUGAAUCCAUAGGUUAAUGAGGCGAACCGGGGGAACUGAAACAUCUAAGUACCCCGAGGAAAAGAAAUCAACCGAGAUUCCCCCAGUAGCGGCGAGCGAACGGGGAGGAGCCCAGAGCCUGAAUCAGCAUGUGUGUUAGUGGAAGCGUCUGGAAAGGCGCGCGAUACAGGGUGACAGCCCCGUACACAAAAGCGCAUGUGCUGUGAGCUCGAUGAGUAGGGCGGGACACGUGGUAUCCUGUCUGAAUAUGGGGGGACCAUCCUCCAAGGCUAAAUACUCCUGACUGACCGAUAGUGAACCAGUACCGUGAGGGAAAGGCGAAAAGAACCCCGGCGAGGGGAGUGAAAAAGAACCUGAAACCGUGUACGUACAAGCAGUGGGAGCNNGUGACUGCGUACCUUUUGUAUAAUGGGUCAGCGACUUAUAUUCUGUAGCAAGGUUAACCGAAUAGGGGAGCCGGAGGGAAACCGAGUCUUAAUUGGGCGUUAAGUUGCAGGGUAUAGACCCGAAACCCGGUGAUCUAGCCAUGGGCAGGUUGAAGGUUGGGUAACACUAACUGGAGGACCGAACCGACUAAUGUUGAAAAAUUAGCGGAUGACCUGUGGCUGGGGGUGAAAGGCCAAUCAAACCGGGAGAUAGCUGGUUCUCCCCGAAAGCUAUUUAGGUAGCGCCUCGUGAAUUCAUCUCCGGGGGUAGAGCACUGUUUCGGCUAGGGGGCCAUCCCGGCUUACCAACCCGAUGCAAACUGCGAAUACCGGAGAAUGUUAUCACGGGAGACACACGGCGGGUGCUAACGUCCGUCGUGAAGAGGGAAACAACCCAGACCGCCAGCUAAGGUCCCAAAGUCAUGGUUAAGUGGGAAACGAUGUGGGAAGGCCCAGACAGCCAGGAUGUUGGCUUAGAAGCAGCCAUCAUUUAAAGAAAGCGUAAUAGCUCACUGGUCGAGUCGGCCUGCGCGGAAGAUGUAACGGGGCUAAACCAUGCACCGAAGCUGCGGCAGCGANNUGCUGGAGGUAUCAGAAGUGCGAAUGCUGACAUAAGUAACGAUAAAGCGGGUGAAAAGCCCGCUCGCCGGAAGACCAAGGGUUCCUGUCCAACGUUAAUCGGGGCAGGGUGAGUCGACCCCUAAGGCGAGGCCGAAAGGCGUAGUCGAUGGGAAACGGGUUAAUAUUCCCGUACUUGGUGUUACUGCGAAGGGGGGACGGAGAAGGCUAUGUUGGCCGGGCGACGGUUGUCCCGGUUUAAGCGUGUAGGUGUGUGUUCCAGGUAAAUCCGGUUCACUUUAACACUGAGGCGUGACGACGAGGCACUACGGUGCUGAAGCAACAAAUGCCCUGCUUCCAGGAAAAGCCUCUAAGCAUCAGGUAACAUCAAAUCGUACCCCAAACCGACACAGGUGGUCAGGUAGAGAAUACCAAGGCGCUUGAGAGAACUCGGGUGAAGGAACUAGGCAAAAUGGUGCCGUAACUUCGGGAGAAGGCACGCUGACACGUAGGUGAAGUGAUUUACUCAUGGAGCUGAAGUCAGUCGAAGAUACCAGCUGGCUGCAACUGUUUAUUAAAAACACAGCACUGUGCAAACACGAAAGUGGACGUAUACGGUGUGACGCCUGCCCGGUGCCGGAAGGUUAAUUGAUGGGGUCAGCGCAAGCGAAGCUCCUGAUCGAAGCCCCGGUAAACGGCGGCCGUAACUAUAACGGUCCUAAGGUAGCGAAAUUCCUUGUCGGGUAAGUUCCGACCUGCACGAAUGGCGUAAUGAUGGCCAGGCUGUCUCCACCCGAGACUCAGUGAAAUUGAACUCGCUGUGAAGAUGCAGUGUACCCGCGGCAAGACGGAAAGACCCCGUGAACCUUUACUAUAGCUUGACACUGAACAUUGAGCCUUGAUGUGUAGGAUAGGUGGGAGGCUUUGAAGUGUGGACGCCAGUCUGCAUGGAGCCGACCUUGAAAUACCACCCUUUAAUGUUUGAUGUUCUAACGUGGACCCGUAAUCCGGGUUGCGGACAGUGUCUGGUGGGUAGUUUGACUGGGGCGGUCUCCUCCUAAAGAGUAACGGAGGAGCACGAAGGUUGGCUAAUCCUGGUCGGACAUCAGGAGGUUAGUGCAAUGGCAUAAGCCAGCUUGACUGCGAGCGUGACGGCGCGAGCAGGUGCGAAAGCAGGUCAUAGUGAUCCGGUGGUUCUGAAUGGAAGGGCCAUCGCUCAACGGAUAAAAGGUACUCCGGGGAUAACAGGCUGAUACCGCCCAAGAGUUCAUAUCGACGGCGGUGUUUGGCACCUCGAUGUCGGCUCAUCACAUCCUGGGGCUGAAGUAGGUCCCAAGGGUAUGGCUGUUCGCCAUUUAAAGUGGUACGCGAGCUGGGUUUAGAACGUCGUGAGACAGUUCGGUCCCUAUCUGCCGUGGGCGCUGGAGAACUGAGGGGGGCUGCUCCUAGUACGAGAGGACCGGAGUGGACGCAUCACUGGUGUUCGGGUUGUCAUGCCAAUGGCACUGCCCGGUAGCUAAAUGCGGAAGAGAUAAGUGCUGAAAGCAUCUAAGCACGAAACUUGCCCCGAGAUGAGUUCUCCCUGAGACUUAGAGUCUCCUGAAGGAACGUUGAAGACGACGACGUUGAUAGGCCGGGUGUGUAAGCGCAGCGAUGCGUUGAGCUAACCGGUACUAAUGAACCGUGAGGCUUAACCUUACAACGCCGAAG